CCUACGGGUGGCAGCAGUGGGGAAUAUUGGUCAAUGGACGAGAGUCUGAACCAGCAAAGUAGCGUGAAGGAUGACGGCCCUCUGGGUUGUAAACUUCUUUUAUAGAGGAGUAAAACGAGGCACGUGUGCCUUUUUGCAUGUACUUUAUGAAUAAGGAUCGGCUAACUCCGUGCCAGCAGCCGCGGUAAUACGGAGGAUCCGAGCGUUAUCCGGAAUUAUUGGGUUUAAAGGGAGCGUAGAUGGGUUGUUAAGUCAGUUGUGAAAGUUUGCGGCUCAACCGUAAAAGUGCAAUUGAUACUGGCAGUCUUGAGUACAGGAGAGGUAGGCGGAAUUCGUGGUGUAGCGGUGAAAUGCUUAGAUAUCACGAAGAACCCCGAUUGCGAAGGCAGCUUACUAAACUGCCACUGACAUUGAUGCUCGAAAGUGUGGGGAUCAAACAGGAUUAGAUACCCCUGUAGUC
This 460-nucleotide ribosomal RNA is filed under the name uncultured bacterium. RNAcentral's name for it is "partial 16S ribosomal RNA". It matches the Rfam family "Bacterial small subunit ribosomal RNA", at positions 338 to 795 of the family's 1533-position model. The record is from RNAcentral.